Molecule: long non-coding RNA, 1179 nt
Filed under: Lactuca sativa (garden lettuce)
Lineage: Eukaryota; Viridiplantae; Streptophyta; Magnoliopsida; Asterales; Asteraceae
Description: long non-coding RNA (LSAT_LNC009774)
Source: RNAcentral
UAAUUAAACAACUAUCAAAGGACAAUCCAAAGUUCGACGAGGAUUGGUCGCUUGUGAGUAGUUGGAAGCAUGGUAUUGGAUGGACCAUAUCGACAUUAUUAUGAAUAGAAAAGAUUCUAUUAAGAAUGAGUUGUCAUAUGGAAAUUAUGGAAAUGUUUCCAUAUUGGAUGGACCAUAUCGACAUCAUUAUGAAUAGAUAAGAUUCUAUUAAGAAUGAGUUGUCAUAUGGAAAAUAUGGAAGCGUGUCCAUAUUGGGAAUUGAAUAUUGAAAAUCUAUGUCUAGAUUAGAAACUUUUAUGCAAAAGGAUGUUCAAAGGAAUGUACUUUGAGUGAGAGACAUCAUAUCUAAGGAAUUGUCUUGUAACAAUCUCCGAUAGAGAACUUUGUAAUAUCAUUGGCAAUAGUCUUUGUGACGUUGGUGCAGUGACAUUACAAAAGGAUCAUUGCAUAAAGUGUUAGAAUCUAGCACAUUCUAUAAGUGGCAAGAAUUUGAUAUUCUUUCACUUAUGAAAAAGGAUUUGGAGUUGUGAAAUGAGAAUGAUUGGGAAUGUGCUCAAUUUGAUCUAUUUCAAAAAGUAAGAACCAUAGGUAAACAUUGUGUGCAUGCUAAGAGCAUGGGACAAGUGUAAUAAUUCAAGUAAGAAGUUGAUUACCCGAAAUGACAAAUAAUGAGUAAUCGAUAUGGUGAUAAAUAAAAGGAGUUUUAUUUAUACUCAAAGGUUUGAGGCCAUAUGGGAUUAGUAUUAUUCUUGUGUUUCACUUUGCAUGUUUUGACUUCUAGAAUAAUUGAGUUUAUUAAGAAUAAUCGAAUUAUUCGAACGGGCCACAGUCGUUCAUAUGUUGGAAGUAGAUAUGAAUGAAGACUGUCGUGAAUUGGUGUGUGGAUUGUCUAAAGAGCAUUAGACAUAAGCAAAUGUUUGCUGCAACGUUCAUGAGUGCUUAUGAAUAUGAUUUGAGCAUUGGAUUAAACCCACGCUCACUUGGAUCACUCCAUGAAUUGUAUCACGAGUGAUUGGUGAGACGAUAACAUCUUAUAUUCUUGAAACCGAGAUGUUUGAGUUUUAUCUUGCGAAUCGGUUGCACAUUGAUAAUAUGUAAAUGUGCUAGUAACUUGGUGUUAUAAACAUAUUAUUGUGUGUAAUUCGGUGAGCGAGUGCAAGCAAGCAUUGUAUCAAAGUU